This 88-nucleotide transfer RNA is filed under the name Myxococcaceae bacterium. Its description in RNAcentral is "tRNA-Leu". It matches the Rfam family "tRNA". Rfam says of the family: Transfer RNA (tRNA) molecules are approximately 80 nucleotides in length. Their secondary structure includes four short double-helical elements and three loops (D, anti-codon, and T loops). Lineage: Bacteria; Pseudomonadati; Myxococcota; Myxococcia; Myxococcales; Myxococcaceae. The record is from RNAcentral.
GCCCGGGUGGCGAAACUGGUAGACGCAGCGGACUUAAAAUCCGCAGGCGGGGCAACCCGCCGUGCCGGUUCAAGUCCGGCUCCGGGCA